GACGAACGCUGGCGGCGUGCUUAACACAUGCAAGUCGAACGGAAAGGCCCCUUUGGGGGUACUCGAGUGGCGAACGGGUGAGUAACACGUGAGUAACCUGCCCUUGACUUCGGGAUAACUUCAGGAAACUGGGGCUAAUACCGGAUAGGAAUCCUUGCUGCAUGGUGGGGGUUGGAAAGCUUCGGCGGGUUUGGAUGGACUCGGGGCUUAUCCGCUUGUUGGGGGGGUAGUGGCUUACCAAGGCUUUGGCGGGUAGCCGGCCUGAGAGGGGGGACAGCCACCAUGGGACUGAGGGACGGACCAGUGUGCAACGGGACGCAAUAGAGGGGAAUAUUGCAGAACGGGGCGGAGGCAGAUGUAACGACGGCCGGGUUGGGAAGACCGGCUUCGGGGUGGAAAACGCCUUCCGGCGGGGAGAAAGAUGGAGUGACGGUACCUGAAGAAAAAGCAACGGCUAACUACGUG
This 465-nucleotide ribosomal RNA is filed under the name uncultured bacterium. RNAcentral describes it as "partial 16S ribosomal RNA". It matches the Rfam family "Bacterial small subunit ribosomal RNA", at positions 28 to 507 of the family's 1533-position model. The record is from RNAcentral.